GACGAACGCUGGCGGCGUGCUUAACACAUGCAAGUCGAACGGAAAGGCCCUGCUUUUGUGGGGUGCUCGAGUGGCGAACGGGUGAGUAACACGUGAGUAACCUGCCCUUGACUUUGGGAUAACUUCAGGAAACUGGGGCUAAUACCGGAUAGGAGCUCCUGCUGCAUGGUGGGGGUUGGAAAGUUUCGGCGGUUGGGGAUGGACUCGCGGCUUAUCAGCUUGUUGGUGGGGUAGUGGCUUACCAAGGCUUUGACGGGUAGCCGGCCUGAGAGGGUGACCGGCCACAUUGGGACUGAGAUACGGCCCAGACUCCUACGGGAGGCAGCAGUGGGGAAUAUUGCACAAUGGGCGGAAGCCUGAUGCAGCAACGCCGCGUGCGGGAUGACGGCCUUCGGGUUGUAAACCGCUUUCGCCUGUGACGAAGCGUGAGUGACGGUAAUGGGUAAAGAAGCACCGGCUAACUACGUGCCAGCAGCCGCGGUGAUACGUAGGGUGCGAGCGUUGUCCGGAUUUAUUGGGCGUAAAGGGCUCGUAGGUGGUUGAUCGCGUCGGAAGUGUAAUCUUGGGGCUUAACCCUGAGCGUGCUUUCGAUACGGGUUGACUUGAGGAAGGUAGGGGAGAAUGGAAUUCCUGGUGGAGCGGUGGAAUGCGCAGAUAUCAGGAGGAACACCAGUGGCGAAGGCGGUUCUCUGGGCCUUUCCUGACGCUGAGGAGCGAAAGCGUGGGGAGCGAACAGGCUUAGAUACCCUGGUAGUCCACGCUGUAAACGGUGGGUACUAGGUGUGGGGUCCAUUCCACGGGUUCCGUGCCGUAGCUAACGCUUUAAGUACCCCGCCUGGGGAGUACGGCCGCAAGGCUAAAACUCAAAGGAAUUGACGGGGCCCCGCACAAGCGGCGGAGCAUGCGGAUUAAUUCGAUGCAACGCGUAGAACCUUACCUGGGUUUGACAUGGAUCGGGAGUGCUCAGAGAUGGGUGUGCCUCUUUUGGGGUCGGUUCACAGGUGGUGCAUGCCUGUCGUCAGCUCGUGUCGUGAGAUGCUGGGUUAAGUCCCGCAACGAGCGCAACCCUUGUUCACUGUUGCCAGCACGUUAUGGUGGGGACUCAGUGGAGACCGCCGGGGUCAACUCGGAGGAAGGUGGGGAUGACGUCAAGUCAUCAUGCCCCUUAUGUCCAGGGCUUCACGCAUGCUACAAUGGCUGGUACAGAGAGUGGCGAGCCUGUGAGGGUGAGCGAAUCUCGGAAAGCCGGUCUCAGUUCGGAUUGGGGUCUGCAACUCGACCUCAUGAAGUCGGAGUCGCUAGUAAUCGCAAAUCAGCAACGCUGCGGUGAAUACGUUCCCGGG
RNAcentral lists this ribosomal RNA (1343 nucleotides) under uncultured bacterium. Its description in RNAcentral is "16S ribosomal RNA". It matches the Rfam family "Bacterial small subunit ribosomal RNA", at positions 28 to 1378 of the family's 1533-position model. The record is from RNAcentral.